UACGAAGGGAGCUAGCGUUGCUCGGAAUCACUGGGCGUAAAGGGUGCGUAGGCGGGUCUUUAAGUCAGGGGUGAAAUCCUGGAGCUCAACUCCAGAACUGCCUUUGAUACUGAAGAUCUUGAGUUCGGGAGAGGUGAGUGGAACUGCGAGUGUAGGGGUGAAAUUCGUAGAUAUUCGCAAGAACACCAGUGGCGAAGGCGGCUCACUGGCCCGAUACUGACGCUGAGGCACGAAAGCGUGGGGAGCAAACAGG
Molecule: ribosomal RNA, 253 nt
Filed under: uncultured bacterium
Lineage: Bacteria
Description: partial 16S ribosomal RNA
Rfam family: Bacterial small subunit ribosomal RNA
Source: RNAcentral